GGCUCUGUGGUGUAGUGGUAGUAGCACAUGACCCCGGUAUGGACGGAACGCCGGUUCGGUGCCCGGCUGGGGCCG
Molecule: non-coding RNA, 75 nt
Organism: Parelaphostrongylus tenuis
Lineage: Eukaryota; Metazoa; Nematoda; Chromadorea; Rhabditida; Metastrongylidae
Source: the annotation of a GenBank genome assembly